GUCGUCGUGGCUCGAGUGGUUAAGGCGACAGACUUGAAAUCUGUUGGGCUUUGCCCGCACAGGUUCGAAUCCUGUCGGCAACG
Molecule: non-coding RNA, 83 nt
Organism: Ciona savignyi (Pacific transparent sea squirt)
Lineage: Eukaryota; Metazoa; Chordata; Ascidiacea; Phlebobranchia; Cionidae
Source: Rfam